AAGAUUUGCAAAACAAAUGUCCACACAUGGUCUGCAUUGGAUUGAUGAGAAGGAGAUGACAGCUAAUAAACAAGACGAUGAAAAUUGGUGGUUGACAUGCUCCAGGCAAGCAAGGUGGUUCCAGAUUUAAGGUCGAAAAGGUAACUUAUUGGAAUCGACUUAACUAGAUUUUU
Molecule: long non-coding RNA, 173 nt
Organism: Xenia sp. Carnegie-2017
Lineage: Eukaryota; Metazoa; Cnidaria; Anthozoa; Malacalcyonacea; Xeniidae
Exons: 3
Source: RefSeq, a predicted model, not a curated record